This is a long non-coding RNA of Podarcis raffonei (Aeolian wall lizard), 273 nucleotides long. RefSeq lists it as uncharacterized. The transcript has 2 exons. The record is from RefSeq and is a predicted model, not a curated record. Lineage: Eukaryota; Metazoa; Chordata; Lepidosauria; Squamata; Lacertidae.
CCAUUUCCAGCAGGGUCAGGCGCGACGAGCAGCUCUGCCGAAGCUCCUCUGCGCCAGGACUCUUCAGAUCCAGGACACUAGCAUAGACGGGUGAACAGCAUGGAAAACUCACUGACAUUCCAAAAAAUCACCAUUACCAAGGAAAGGUCAUGCAGUGGAUGGAAAACUGGAGGCAAACAAAGAUUCCCAAAAUUAGCACUGCGGUUCAUACUGGGUCAAGUUCUGCUGAACUAUUAGGGAAGAAUAAACUGAGUGACGCUAAAAGACAUGAAA